CGUGCCUGAUGACAUAGAUUUCAUUGCUGAGUGAUAUUGCAUUGUACAUAAAAUCAUCGUACCUGAAUCCACUCAUUAUGGUGCUACGGGCCUGAUGACAUAGAUUUCAUUGCUGAGUGAUAUUGCAUUGUACUUAAAAUCAUCAUACCUGAAUCCACUUAUUAUGCUGCUACGGGCCUGAUGACAUAGAUUUCAUUGCUGAGUGAUAUUGCAUUGUA
This is a long non-coding RNA of Orcinus orca (killer whale), 218 nucleotides long. RefSeq lists it as uncharacterized. The transcript has 3 exons. The record is from RefSeq and is a predicted model, not a curated record. NCBI's taxonomy places the organism in Eukaryota, Metazoa, Chordata, Mammalia, Artiodactyla, Delphinidae.